RNAcentral lists this ribosomal RNA (1851 nucleotides) under hot springs metagenome. RNAcentral describes it as "bacterial LSU rRNA". It matches the Rfam family "Bacterial large subunit ribosomal RNA", at positions 1 to 1983 of the family's 2925-position model. The record is from RNAcentral.
UCAAGCGCGAGAAGGGCGUUUGGUGGAUGCCUUGGCAGCAAGAGGCGAUGAAGGACGUGAUACCCUGCGAUAAGCCAUGGGGAGCCGGGAAUGGGCUUUGAUCCAUGGAUUUCCGAAUGGGGAAACCCACCUGACAGUUGAUUAUGGUUGCUCUUCGGGGCGAUCCAUAAUCGGCUGAGACAGGGACUUGGAACCUGAACACAUAGGGUUUCAAGGGCGAACCCGGGGAACUGAAACAUCUCAGUACCCGGAGGAAAGGACAUCAACAGAGACUCCGUCAGUAGUGGCGAGCGAACGCGGACCAGCCGAGCCGUGAGAACGACCAGAAUGGCCUGGAAAGGCCAGCCGGAGCGGGUGACAGCCCCGUAUGGGAAGUUCGAUCGGACGCAUCAAGUAGGGCGGGACACGUGAAAUCCUGUCUGAAGAUCGGGGGACCACCCUCGAAGGCUAAGUACUCCUUGCUGACCGAUAGCGAACAAGUACCGUGAGGGAAAGGUGAAAAGCACCCCGACGAGGGGAGUGAAACAGUACCUGAAACCGGACGCCUACAAUCAGUCGGAGCCUCCAUGAGAGGUGACGGCGUACCUUUUGUAUAAUGGGUCACCGACUUGGUCUCACGAGCGAGCUUAAGCCGAUAGGCGGAGGCGGAGCGAAAGCGAGUCUGAACAGGGCGUUCAGUUCGUGGGAUCAGACCCGAAACCGAGUGAUCUAUCCAUGGCCAGGCUGAAGGUGGGGUAACACCUACUGGAGGGCCGAACCCACGCCUGUUGAAAAAGUCGGGGAUGAGCUGUGGCUAGGGGUGAAAGGCCAAUCAAACUCGGAAAUAGCUGGUUCUCCGCGAAAUCUAUUGAGGUAGAUCGUCAGGUGGUCACCUUCGGAGGUAGAGCACCGGAAGGGCUAGGGGGGCCCAAAGCCCUACCAAACCCUACCGAACUCCGAAUGCCGGGAAGCGCAGGGCGGCAGACAGACGGUGGGUGCUAAGGUCCAUCGUCGAGAGGGAAACAGCCCAGACCACCGGCUAAGGCCCCCAAAUCGUGGCUAAGUGGGAAAGCAUGUGGGACGGCCAAAACAACCAGGAGGUUGGCUUAGAAGCAGCCAUCCUUUAAAGAAAGCGUAAUAGCUCACUGGUCUAGACAAGCUGUCCUGCGGCGAAAAUGUACCGGGGCUCAAGCCACGUGCCGAAGCUGUGGGCUUGCCAUGGGCAAGCGGUAGCGGAGCGUUCCCUAGGCCUGCGAAGCCGGACCCGCGAGGGCCGGUGGAGGUAUGGGAAGUGCGAAUGCGGACAUGAGUAGCGACAAGGAGAGUGAGAACCUCUCCCGCCGGAAGUCCAAGGGUUCCUGCGCAAGGUCAAUCCGCGCAGGGUGAGCCGGCCCCUAAGGCGAGGGCGAGAGCCGUAGCCGAUGGGAACCAGGUCAAGAUUCCUGGGCCCGCUGGAGGUGACGGCGUCGAAGCGUCGUAUUCCCUGACUGGAUUGGGGGUGCGGCCGGAGGCGUCCAGGAAACAGCCCCAGCGUAUGGACCGUACCCGAAACCGACACAGGUGGACUGGUCGAGCAUACCCAGGCGAGCGAGCGAACGGUGUCGAAGGAACUCGGCAAAUUGCCCGCGUAACUUCGGGAGAAGCGGGGCCUCGGUCCGGGCAACCGGGUCGGGGUGGCACAGGCCAGGGGGUGGCGACUGUUUACUAAAAACACAGGGCUCUGCGAACUCGAGAGAGGACGUAUAGGGUCUGACGCCUGCCCGGUGCCGGAAGGUUAAGGGGAGGGGUGCAAGCUCCGAACCGAAGCCCCGGUAAACGGCGGCCGUAACUAUAACGGUCCUAAGGUAGCGAAAUUCCUUGUCGGGUAAGUUC